This is a long non-coding RNA of Talpa occidentalis (Iberian mole), 662 nucleotides long. RefSeq lists it as uncharacterized. Lineage: Eukaryota; Metazoa; Chordata; Mammalia; Eulipotyphla; Talpidae. The record is from RefSeq and is a predicted model, not a curated record. The transcript has 3 exons.
AGGAACAAAAUAAAUAUAAAAAAUUCCAAUUGGUGGAGUCUGAUCAGUCACUUUCUGCCAAUUCAAAUUCUGGUCCAGAACUACAACAAAACAGCACAUCUUGCUUCUACGUGUUCUUUUAACCAUCAGUUUGGCAUCUCAAUUUCAUCUUCUGUGACUAUUUUUCUGCUCAAACAAUGAGAGGUCACCUCAAGGACAGUGAAAACUUCUUUGGGCCUGUGCUCUAAAACACAAAUGUAAAUUCAUUUAAAAAAAUGUUUUUUCCCUCAUUGAAAAUGAGUACAGGAGUUACCCAUUUUGGGGAGGUAGAAUCAAAUGAGGAUUCUUACUUUGCUCCUAGGAAUUUAAAGUAGUCAGAGUAACACUGGAUCUAGAGGUCCCUUGACUUGGGAUAAAAAUAGAGCCCUACUAAACACUGGAGACUAAUGAUGACCACAACAGAAGAGACACUAAGGAAAUUUAUACACAUACAACAAAAGGAGGAUAAUCUGAAGUAGUCAGAGUGACCUUGGACCUAGAGGAUCCAUGACUUGGGAUGAAAAUAGAGCCCCCACUAAACACUGGACACUAAUGCCGAUGACCACAGAAGAGACACUAAGGAAAUUCAACCCCACAGAACAAAGGGGUGACUUGCAUUAAAGAGAAAAGAAGACAUAUGGAAG